AUGAGCAGAUUUUGGACUUGCUCAAUCCAAAUGCAACAAAUUUACAGGGUUCUUUUGUGUGUGCAGGACAAUCCCAACGAUUGUCCAUUCAUUUCAUCCGUCGUGUACAUCUUGGAGAACGGAAGCGCCAAACUUCAUGUGCCGAACCAACCGGUAUAUUCUGCACCUACGAAUAGCAAAGUAGAGCAUGCAACAGGCAAUACUCAAAAUUCAAAGAAUAUGCUAACUUACAGUUCUAGAGUGAAGAUAGGUCAGUUAUCACAUUACAAGAUAUUUUGUAAAGGGGCGCUCAGAUCAGAUAGAUGCAAAGGUGGUUGGUUAUGA
RNAcentral lists this ribosomal RNA (324 nucleotides) under Triticum aestivum (bread wheat). RNAcentral describes it as "partial small subunit ribosomal RNA". Lineage: Eukaryota; Viridiplantae; Streptophyta; Magnoliopsida; Poales; Poaceae. The record is from RNAcentral.